UACGGGAGGCAGCAGUGGGGAAUAUUGCACAAUGGGCGCAAGCCUGAUGCAGCCAUGCCGCGUGUAUGAAGAAGGCCUUCGGGUUGUAAAGUACUUUCAGCAGUGAGGAAGGCGGAGUCGUUAAUAGCGGCCUCGUUUGACGUUAGCUGCAGAAGAAGCACCGGCUAACUCCGUGCCAGCAGCCGCGGUAAUACGGAGGGUGCGAGCGUUAAUCGGAAUUACUGGGCGUAAAGCGCAUGCAGGUGGUUUGUUAAGUCAGAUGUGAAAGCCCGGGGCUCAACCUCGGAAUUGCAUUUGAAACUGGCAGACUAGAGUACUGUAGAGGGGGUAGAAUUUCAGGUGUAGCGGUGAAAUGCGUAGAGAUCUGAAGGAAUACCGGUGGCGAAGGCGGCCCCCUGGACAGAUACUGACACUCAGAUGCGAAAGCGUGGGGAGCAAACAGGAUUAGAUACCCUGGUAG
This 460-nucleotide ribosomal RNA is filed under the name uncultured bacterium. RNAcentral describes it as "bacterial SSU rRNA". It matches the Rfam family "Bacterial small subunit ribosomal RNA", at positions 340 to 793 of the family's 1533-position model. The record is from RNAcentral.